This 492-nucleotide ribosomal RNA is filed under the name uncultured bacterium. RNAcentral describes it as "partial 16S ribosomal RNA". It matches the Rfam family "Bacterial small subunit ribosomal RNA", at positions 29 to 507 of the family's 1533-position model. The record is from RNAcentral.
AGUGAACGCUGGCGGUAGGCCUAACACAUGCAAGUCGAACGGCAGCACAGUAAGAGCUUGCUCUUACGGGUGGCGAGUGGCGGACGGGUGAGGAAUACAUCGGAAUCUACUUUUUCGUGGGGGAUAACAUAGGGAAACUUACGCUAAUACCGCAUACGACCUACGGGUGAAAGCAGGGGAUCUUCGGACCUUGCGCGAUUGAAUGAGCCGAUGUCGGAUUAGCUAGUUGGCGGGGUAAAGGCCCACCAAGGCGACGAUCCGUAGCUGGUCUGAGAGGAUGAUCAGCCACACUGGAACUGAGACACGGUCCAGACCCCUACGGGAGGCAGCAGUGGGGAAUAUUGGACAAUGGGCGCAAGCCUGAUCCAGCCAUACCGCGUGGGUGAAGAAGGCCUUCGGGUUGUAAAGCCCUUUUGUUGGGAAAGAAAAGCAGCAGGUUAAUACCCCGCUGUUCUGACGGUACCCAAAGAAUAAGCACCGGCUAACUUCGUG